GGGCCCGUAGCUCAGCUGGUGAGAGCACCUGGCUUAUAUCCGGGCGGUCGGGGGUUCGAAUCCCCUCGGGCCCA
This 74-nucleotide transfer RNA is filed under the name Nanobdellota archaeon. Its description in RNAcentral is "tRNA-Ile". It matches the Rfam family "tRNA". From Rfam's summary of the family: Transfer RNA (tRNA) molecules are approximately 80 nucleotides in length. Their secondary structure includes four short double-helical elements and three loops (D, anti-codon, and T loops). Lineage: Archaea; Nanobdellati; Nanobdellota. The record is from RNAcentral.